UCGGGAAUUUUGGGCAAUGGGCGAAAGCCUGACCCAGCAACGCCGCGUGAAGGAUGAAGUAUUUCGGUAUGUAAACUUCGUAAGAAUAGGAAGAAUAAAUGACGGUACUAUUUGUAAGGUCCGGCUAACUACGUGCCAGCAGCCGCGGUAAUACGUAGGGACCAAGCGUUGUUCGGAUUUACUGGGCGUAAAGCGCGUGUAGGCGGACUUGUAAGUUGGGGGUGAAAUCCCGAGGCUCAACCUCGGAACUGCCUCCAAAACUACAAAUCUGGACCUAAGUAGAGGCAAGUGGAAUUGCGAGUGUAGAGGUGAAAUUCGUAGAUAUUCGCAGGAACACCAGUGGCGAAGGCGACUUGCUGGACUUAUGGUGACGCUGAGACGCGAAAGCGUGGGGAGCAAACAGGAUUAGAUACCCGUGUAGUCCCUGAGCGGGCUGGCAAGGCGCAU
RNAcentral lists this ribosomal RNA (447 nucleotides) under uncultured bacterium. RNAcentral's name for it is "bacterial SSU rRNA". It matches the Rfam family "Bacterial small subunit ribosomal RNA", at positions 355 to 825 of the family's 1533-position model. The record is from RNAcentral.